UGUGGCAAAACAAGGUCUGAUUUAGCCC
This 28-nucleotide non-coding RNA is filed under the name Mus musculus (house mouse). The record is from RNAcentral. Lineage: Eukaryota; Metazoa; Chordata; Mammalia; Rodentia; Muridae.